Molecule: ribosomal RNA, 253 nt
Filed under: uncultured bacterium
Lineage: Bacteria
Description: partial 16S ribosomal RNA
Rfam family: Bacterial small subunit ribosomal RNA
Source: RNAcentral
UACGGAGGGUGCGAGCGUUGUCCGGAAUCACUGGGCGUAAAGGGCGCGUAGGUGGCGCGACGAGUCUGUGGUGAAAGCCCGAGGCUCAACUUCGGGUCGGCCGCGGAUACUCUCGUGCUGGAGGGUGGUAGAGGACAAUGGAAUUCCGGGUGUAGCGGUGGAAUGCGUAGAGAUCCGGAAGAACACCGGUGGCGAAGGCGGUUGGCUGGGCCACACCUGACACUGAGGCGCGAAAGCGUGGGGAGCAAACAGG